Gossypium arboreum is the source of this 144-nucleotide microRNA precursor. It matches the Rfam family "MIR7502 microRNA precursor family". Lineage: Eukaryota; Viridiplantae; Streptophyta; Magnoliopsida; Malvales; Malvaceae. The record is from Rfam.
UGUUAAAAAUUUUAUCCAUUUUACUAUAAAAAACAAGUGUGGAUGACAGAAUAAUUAGGCAAGUACCCCUGGCAUGCCACAUGUACAUCAUUCUAACAUACAAUGACCAAUUUUUAACGGUAGAAAUAGAUGAAAAUUUUAACA